Molecule: long non-coding RNA, 1723 nt
Filed under: Pan troglodytes (chimpanzee)
Lineage: Eukaryota; Metazoa; Chordata; Mammalia; Primates; Hominidae
Description: long non-coding RNA NONPTRT003908
Source: RNAcentral
GAACGAUAUACGGGAUGGAGGGGUGAAGGUGGAAGUGGGAGGAAGCAGGUGCCAGACAGCUCUCAAUAUGCCUGGUUUGUGAGGAAGGGUGGGGGAAGGAAGGGUACAUGGGUAGAACUGGUCAGCCCUCUGCAUAGAUAGCCAGGGUUUUGGAUUGAGUAUCCUCUCUUCUACACCAUGUUCAGCUCAGAAGCCAGAAGUGCUCCUCAACUAGAGGCGAGAUACUCUCUUCUGCAACUCACAGCCAACAUGACACACACAAACAGACACUCAUCUUCAAGCCUUGAUGGUGAAUGGUCUCAACCCAACUUCCUCACAUCUACACCUCCAACCACUGCCUUCGGUGGCUUUGCUCCCUUUACCUGACUAAAUGAUUCCAUUUCCUCUGUCCUAACCCUCUUCCCUUUUCUCAGGAAUUCAGAGUCAUUCUUACCCAUACCAGCAAUCAGGGUCAGGAAACCCAAUCAGAAAGAAAAACUUGAAGAGGAAGGCGGGCAUCCGGAUCCUAUCACUCCCCAGUGACCAGCAAGACACUCUCUCUCCAGCUACUGGGUUGGAAAGUGAGAGAACUGAAUUCUGGCUCUCCUACCUUCACACUCUUCAGAACUGGAAAAGAAGCUUUUCUGCCAGGCACGGUGGCUCAUGCCUGUAAUCCCAGUGCUUUGGGAGGCUAAGGUGGGCGAAUCACUUGAGGUCACAAGUUCAAGACCAGCCUGGCCAACAUGGUGAAACCCCAUCUCUACUAAAAAUAGAAAAAUCAGCUGGGCAUGGUGGCACAUACCUGUAGUCCCAGCUACUCGGAGGCUGAGGCAGGAGAAUUGCUUGAACCUGAGAGGCAGAGGUUGCAGUGAGCCGAGAUCACGCCAUUGCACUCCAGCUUGGGCAAGAGUGAGACUCCGUCUCAAAAAAAAAAAAAAAAAAAAAAAUUAGCAGGGAGUUGUGGUGUGCACUCAUAAUCCCAGCAGCUCGGAAAAGGCUGAGGCACAAGAAUCGCUUGAACCUGGGAGGCAGAGGUUACAGUGAGCCGAGAUCACGCCACUGCAUUCCGGCCUGGGUGACAGAGACUGUGUCUCAAAAAAAAAAAAAAAAAGCUUUUCUUAAUAAUAUUACUGCUGCCCAAAGACACGACUCCCUACACUAAGCAGCAGCAAUGGAAGGGGUGUCCCCCAACUCUCACUACCCAACGUGGUAUACUACAGAUAUCCCAAAAGGAUUCCACAGCAUCCCAGAAAUGGAUCCCCAGCCCCCUCCCUGAGUUCAGUGGUUUGACCUACUUUUAGCAGAUGCCUAAAAACAUCGAAUGUACUAAAUACAUACUUGUCAACUUCCUGCUGUAACCAACCUAGGCGCUUGAACUGGAAGUGGUGUAUGCAGUGAAUCCCCAGAGCCUUUAGACCUUAUACCUCAAGGCUGAGAAACCCACACAUACAUUCAUUCUCUGCCACUGCCCCUAUACUCUGCAAUGAAGGGGAGGGUUUUGCCCUCCAUCCCACCUUAGCCAACCUAAGCCCUUCCACUGGCUUUCUACAGGCUCAUUUGGGAAGCUCCCUUGCCCAGAUUAUCCUGAAGUGGACCCUGGGUCCAAGUCUUCCGCCAGUCCAUGACUGAUGCUAUGCAUGUUCCGGAAGAUGGGAUUGCUGUUUGUCCUAAGAGCUGGGUGCUAAGCAUUUACCUCCCAGGUUCAGUCUCCUCUUCAUCCCCUAUCCCCUCAAAAGAACUGGAA